Molecule: ribosomal RNA, 490 nt
Filed under: uncultured bacterium
Lineage: Bacteria
Description: partial 16S ribosomal RNA
Rfam family: Bacterial small subunit ribosomal RNA
Source: RNAcentral
AGUGAACGCUGGCGGCAGGCCUAAUACAUGCAAGUCGAACGGCAGCACAGCAGAGCUUGCUCUGUGGGUGGCGAGUGGCGGACGGGUGAGGAAUACAUGGGAAUCUGCCCAGUCGUGGGGGAUAACGUAUGGAAACGUACGCUAAUACCGCAUGCGCCCUUUGGGCGAAAGCCGGGGACCUUCGGGCCUGGCGCGAUUGGAUGAGCCCAUGUUCGAUUAGCUAGUUGGCGGGGUAAAGGCCUACCAAGGCGACGAUCGAUAGCUGGUCUGAGAGGAUGAUCAGCCACACUGGGACUGAGACACGGCCCAGACUCCUACGGGAGGCAGCAGUAGGGAAUAUUGGACAAUGGGCGCAAGCCUGAUCCAGCCAUGCCGCGUGAGUGAAGAAGGCCCUCGGGUUGUAAAGCUCUUUUGUCCGGAAAGAAAAGCAUUCGGUUAAUACCCGGGUGUUCUGACGGUACCGGAAGAAUAAGCACCGGCUAACUUCGUG